RNAcentral lists this transfer RNA (73 nucleotides) under Ehrlichia sp. JZT12. Its description in RNAcentral is "tRNA-Glu". It matches the Rfam family "tRNA". From Rfam's summary of the family: Transfer RNA (tRNA) molecules are approximately 80 nucleotides in length. Their secondary structure includes four short double-helical elements and three loops (D, anti-codon, and T loops). Lineage: Bacteria; Pseudomonadati; Pseudomonadota; Alphaproteobacteria; Rickettsiales; Anaplasmataceae. The record is from RNAcentral.
GACUCCUUCGUCUAGAGGCCUAGGACCUCACCCUUUCACGGUGGUAACACGGGUUCGAAUCCCGUAGGAGUCA